GACGAACGCUGGCGGCGUGCCUAAUACAUGCCAGUAGAACGCUGAAGCGAGGAGCUUGCUCUUCUUGGAUGAGUUGCGAACGGGUGAGUAACGCGUAGGUAACCUGCCUUGUAGCGGGGGAUAACUAUUGGAAACGAUAGCUAAUACCGCAUAACAAUGGAUGACACAUGUCAUUUAUUUGAAAGGGGCAAUUGCUCCACUACAAGAUGGACCUGCGUUGUAUUAGCUAGUAGGUGAGGUAAUGGCUCACCUAGGCGACGAUACAUAGCCGACCUGAGAGGGUGAUCGGCCACACUGGGACUGAGACACGGCCCAGACUCCUACGGGAGGCAGCAGUAGGGAAUCUUCGGCAAUGGGGGCAACCCUGACCGAGCAACGCCGCGUGAGUGAAGAAGGUUUUCGGAUCGUAAAGCUCUGUUGUAAGUCAAGGACGGGUGUGAGAGUGGAAAGUUCACACUGUGACGGUAGCUUACCAGAAAGGGACGGCUAACUACGUG
Molecule: ribosomal RNA, 497 nt
Filed under: uncultured bacterium
Lineage: Bacteria
Description: partial 16S ribosomal RNA
Rfam family: Bacterial small subunit ribosomal RNA
Source: RNAcentral